CGGAGGGAUCAUUACAGAGUUAUCUCAACUCCCUAAACCAUUGUGAACCUACCUUCUGUUGCCUCGGCGGCGGCGCCUCUCGCGGGGUGCCGCCGCCGGCGGGCCAACCCAAACUCUUCUGUUAAGUACAAAGUCUUCUGAGUGUCUUAUGCAAAUAAGUCAAAACCUUCAACAACGGAUCUCUUGGUUCUGGCAUCGAUGAAGAACGCAGCGAAAUGCGAUAAGUAAUGUGAAUUGCAGAAUUCAGUGAAUCAUCGAAUCUUUGAACGCACAUUGCGCCCAUUAGUAUUCUAGUGGGCAUGCCUGUUCGAGCGUCAUUUCAACCCUUAAGCCUAGCUUAGUGUUGGGAACCUACCCGGCCCCCGCGCCCCGUAGUUCCCCAAAUCCACCGGCGGAGCAGCGGUAGCCUCUGAGCGUAGUAAUUCUUUUUUUCUCGCUUCUUGCAGGUGCCGCGGCCCCCAGCCGUAAAACACCCAACUCUUGUAAUGGUUGACCUCGGAUCAGGUAGGAAUACCCGCUGAACUUA
RNAcentral lists this ribosomal RNA (526 nucleotides) under Polyancora globosa. Its description in RNAcentral is "eukaryotic LSU rRNA". The stretch from base 164 to 317 matches the Rfam family "5.8S ribosomal RNA". Lineage: Eukaryota; Fungi; Ascomycota; Sordariomycetes; Xylariales. The record is from RNAcentral.